This 1522-nucleotide ribosomal RNA is filed under the name metagenome. RNAcentral's name for it is "bacterial SSU rRNA". It matches the Rfam family "Bacterial small subunit ribosomal RNA". The record is from RNAcentral.
AGAGUUUGAUCAUGGCUCAGAUUGAACGCUGGCGGCAGGCCUAACACAUGCAAGUCGAACGGUAACAGGAAGAAGCUUGCUUCUUUGCUGACGAGUGGCGGACGGGUGAGUAAUGUCUGGGAAACUGCCUGAUGGAGGGGGAUAACUACUGGAAACGGUAGCUAAUACCGCAUAACGUCGCAAGACCAAAGAGGGGGACCUUCGGGCCUCUUGCCAUCGGAUGUGCCCAGAUGGGAUUAGCUAGUAGGUGGGGUAACGGCUCACCUAGGCGACGAUCCCUGGCUGGUCUGAGAGGAUGACCAGCCACACUGGAACUGAGACACGGUCCAGACUCCUACGGGAGGCAGCAGUGGGGAAUAUUGCACAAUGGGCGCAAGCCUGAUGCAGCCAUGCCGCGUGUAUGAAGAAGGCCUUCGGGUUGUAAAGUACUUUCAGCGGGGAGGAAGGGAGUAAAGUUAAUACCUUUGCUCAUUGACGUUACCCGCAGAAGAAGCACCGGCUAACUCCGUGCCAGCAGCCGCGGUAAUACGGAGGGUGCAAGCGUUAAUCGGAAUUACUGGGCGUAAAGCGCACGCAGGCGGUUUGUUAAGUCAGAUGUGAAAUCCCCGGGCUCAACCUGGGAACUGCAUCUGAUACUGGCAAGCUUGAGUCUCGUAGAGGGGGGUAGAAUUCCAGGUGUAGCGGUGAAAUGCGUAGAGAUCUGGAGGAAUACCGGUGGCGAAGGCGGCCCCCUGGACGAAGACUGACGCUCAGCUGCGAAAGCGUGGGGAGCAAACAGGAUUAGAUACCUUGGUAGUCCACGCCGUAAACGAUGUCGACUUGGAGGUUGUGCCCUUGAGGCGUGGCUUCCGGAGCUAACGCGUUAAGUCGACCGCCCGGGGAGUACGGCCGCAAGGUUAAAACUCAAAUGAAUUGACGGGGGCCCGCACAAGCGGUGGAGCAUGUGGUUUAAUUCGAUGCAACGCGAAGAACCUUACCUGGUCUUGACAUCCACAGAACUUUCCAGAGAUGGAUUGGUGCCUUCGGGAACUGUGAGACAGGUGCUGCAUGGCUGUCGUCAGCUCGUGUUGUGAAAUGUUGGGUUAAGUCCCGCAACGAGCGCAACCCUUAUCUUUUGUUGCCAGCGGUCCGGCCGGGAACUCAAAGGAGACUGCCAGUGAUAAACUGGAGGAAGGUGGGGAUGACGUCAAGUCAUCAUGGCCCUUACGACCAGGGCUACACACGUGCUACAAUGGCGCAUACAAAGAGAAGCGACCUCGCGAGAACAAGCGGACCUCAUAAAGUGCGUCGUAGUCCGGAUUGGAGUCUGCAACUCGACUCCAUGAAGUCGGAAUCGCUAGUAAUCGUGGAUCAGAAUGCCACGGUGAAUACGUUCCUGGGCCUUGUACACACCGCCCGUCACACCAUGGGAGUGGGUUGCAAAAGAAGUAGGUAGCUUAACCUUCGGGAGGGCGCUUACCACUUUGUGAUUCAUGACUGGGGUGAAGUCGUAACAAGGUAACCGUAGGGGAACCUGCGGUUG